This 271-nucleotide ribosomal RNA is filed under the name unidentified marine bacterioplankton. Its description in RNAcentral is "partial 16S ribosomal RNA". It matches the Rfam family "Bacterial small subunit ribosomal RNA", at positions 62 to 339 of the family's 1533-position model. The record is from RNAcentral.
CCCUGCACUUUGUCUAUAAGUCUAUUAUAGGUAAAGUGCAGGGAGCGGCGAACGGCUGAGUAACACGUUGGUAGCUACCCUAUACUCAGGGAUAACAUCUAGAAAUAGGUGCUAAUACCGGAUAGUCCCGAAAGGGUAAAGAUUUAUCGGUAUAGGAGGCGCCUGCGGUCUAUCAGUUUGUUGGUGAGGUAAUGGCUCACCAAGACUAUGACGGAUAACUGGUCUGAGAGGAUGACCAGCCAGGAUGGGACUGAGACACGGCCCAUACUCC